GUGUUCGGAUGUGUCCGGAUGUGUUCAGAUGUGUCCAGAUGUGUUCGGAUGUGUCCGGAUGUUCGUUCAGAUGUGUCCAGAUGUGUUCGGAUGUGUCCGGAUGUGUUAUUCAGAUGUGUCCAGAUGUGUCCGGAUGUGUCCAGAUGUGUCCGGAUGUGUCCGGAUGUCCGGAUGUGUCCGGAUGUGUUCGGAUGUGUCCAGAUGUGUCCGAGAUGUGUUCGGAUGUGUCAGAUGUGUCCGGAUGUGUCCAGAUGUGUCCGGAUGUGUCCGGAUGUGUCCAGAUGUGUCCGGAUGUGUCCGGAUGUGUUCGGGAUGUGUCCGGAUGUGUUCGGAUGUGUUCGGAUGUGUUCGGAUGUGUUCAGAUGUGUUCGGACGUGUUCUGCACGGAGUAAAUGUGAGAGCUGCGGACUGAUGGAGUAAAAAUGGAACUCUUUGUUCAUAAUUAACUUUAUGUUCGGAGAACAACAGGAGCAGCAUUUGAUCAGAGCUUGUUCUACGCUUAAACGUACGCCAUUUUACAGACGCCUGUAAGCAGAGCGACUUACAGAAGCGCUUUGAAGUCUCUAUUAAUAAAUACAUCUUGAGCUUGUUACCUGUUUAGCUUGGGUUUGGAUCUUUGUGGUUGUUUGGCAACCGGUGGAAUAAGAAACACUGCACAGGUAGAUGGAAAGAGACUGAAAAGAGGUUUCAACAACAGGACAAUUCGCAAUGAUAUUUGUUGGUAAAUGAGAGCUUUUAGCUGUACUCGUGUUCAACGCAUGUGAAUCAAAGAGGACAAUCUGCUGUAAUUGUGAAAAGUUGCAGCUCUGCUGUAUAUUGCGGCGUUUCCUUGAUUUUGCGUUCAUUUCUGCAAUCGUGAAAUCCUGGAGGGACUGAUUAAGUACUGACUUAAGUAGGGUGUCCAAACUUUUUCACAUGCAACAAUUACUAUUUUACUUCUUUCGUAAUAUUUUUUAAAGUUCAGCAAAUAUAAAUGAAGUGUGCAGUAGUAUUUGUGUCACUUCAAAAAUCAAUCAAAUAUGUAAAUCGGUGAGGGGUGCACAAACUUUUGCAUACAUGAUACAACGAUAAUAUUUUUAAUAACCAAACCUUUUUCAUUAAUGUGUAAUUUUCUUUUGUAAUCAGAGAAUAUUAAUGUAAUGUUAGCCUUAGACUGUUUACAUUACAUUUACAUUUAUUCAUUUAGUUUUUAUCCAAAGCGACUCACACAUGAGAAACUACAAGCGUGUUUAUCACACGCGUUUCCACCCGAUCUGUUAUUUUUAUGUUUUUGUUUCUAAGACACUUCAUAUUUUUCAGGUUUUGGAAACACUUUCAGUCGGACUUGCCGACAUCGCCACCAGACUGGGACUCUUUCCUGAAAAUGGAUUCGGAUCAGGAUUCGAGCAACUGCGUCCUGUCUUAAACACACAUGAACACAACGUCAGUAAUGUCGGCUGAUCACGUGACCUUUCCGUGCUGAAGGUUUAUUGGUGAAGGUAUAUAUAUUUAACUGUCUCAGGGAUGACAGGGAGUGGCACUAAAGUUAUUUAUUAUUCAUUAUUCAUUAUUAAUUCAUUAAUUCACAGACAGUGAAUGUUUUCUGCUAGAGAGAGAAAUGUAUAGUUCUUUAUUUAAGGUUAGGGUUUACUGUAUCAUGCUGCUGGGUGAAUGAGGGGGAUACGGCAGGUGUGGGGAGAUCCUUUAUUUGAACUUAUUUUUUAGUUUAUUUAGUUUUAUUAAUUUAUUAGUUGUAUUAGUUUAUUUCUGACUGUUUCCUUGCUUCAUCUGUAGAGAAUAUUUAUACCAUUGCAGAAUGUUUUUGUACAGUGAAGGGUAGUGGGUAGCUCAGUGGUUAAGACGUUGUGCUUCUGAGGGAGUUCAAGCCCCAGGACUGCUGAGCUGCCACUGUUGGGCCCUUGAGCAAGUCCUUUAACCCUCAACUGCUCAGCUGUAUAAAUGAGAUAACUGUAAGUCACUCUGGAUAAGGGCGUCACCAAAUGCUGUAAUGUAAAUGAAGGGUUCCUUUAAUUCAAUUCAAUUUUAUUUGUAUUGAGCUUUUAACAAUGGACAUUGUCUCCAUUUUUAUUCUUAUUAUUUCAAUUUAUCGUUCUUAAUGAAUUAAUGUGAUGGCGUUCCUGUGGAUUUGGCAAAUAAAAUGAUCAGUGAUUGAGAGCGUGUUGUGUUUGUUAUAAUGUUUAUACAGCUGUAACCCUUUACAUCUUUCUGAAGCCCUCACAUCUCUUCGUCAUAACAAAUAAGUUAUAACGCUGAUAAUUCACGUUUCUUUCUUUAAUAAGAAGCAUCGGCCUAACAGCACGAACAGCAGCCUAUAUUCAAUUCAGUUCAAUUUUAUUUGUAUAGCGCUUUUUACAAUAGACAUUGUCUCAAAGCAGCUUUACAGAAAUAUCAACACGGUGUACAGAUUUUAAGUGUUUGAAUUUAUCCCAAUUGAACGAGCCGGUGGCGACGGUGGCAAGGAAAAACUCCCUGAGAUGUUUUAAGAGGAAGAAACCUUGAGAGGAACCCGACUCAGAAGGAACCCGUCCUCAU
Molecule: long non-coding RNA, 2532 nt
Organism: Ictalurus punctatus (channel catfish)
Lineage: Eukaryota; Metazoa; Chordata; Actinopteri; Siluriformes; Ictaluridae
Source: Ensembl